This 422-nucleotide ribosomal RNA is filed under the name uncultured archaeon. RNAcentral describes it as "partial 16S ribosomal RNA". It matches the Rfam family "Archaeal small subunit ribosomal RNA", at positions 323 to 746 of the family's 1478-position model. The record is from RNAcentral.
CUACGGGCGGCUGCAGGUGCGUAACCUCUACAAUGCACGAAAGUGUGAUAGGGGUAUCCUGAGUGCUUAUGCUUUGCAUAGGCUUUUGUUAAGAGUAAAUAUCUUAGCGAAUAAGUGGUGGGAAAGACAGGUGCCAGCCGCCGCGGUAACACCUGCGCCACAAGUAGGAACCAACUUUAUUUGGUCUAAAGCGUCUGUAGCCUGUGUGAAAAAUCUUUUGUGAAAUUGUUGUGCUUAACAUAACAGCGUGCAAGAGACACUUUUACACUAGGGACUGGGAGGAGUGAGAGGUAUUCCAGGGGGAGCGGUAAUAUGUUAUAAUCCCUGGAAGACCACCUGUGGCGAAGGCGUCUCACUAGAACAGAUCCGACGGUCAGAGACGAAAGCUAGGGGAGCGAUCCGGAUUAGAUACCCGCGUAGUC